Ictalurus punctatus (channel catfish) is the source of this 1055-nucleotide long non-coding RNA. The record is from Ensembl. Lineage: Eukaryota; Metazoa; Chordata; Actinopteri; Siluriformes; Ictaluridae.
CCUUCUUAAAGCACAGCGUGGAUACUUUGAUCCAUUUGUGUAGCAGUAUGAAAGCUACCACGCGGCUGUCAUCACUGAAACCAAAUCAGAGCUCUAGUUCAGAGAGCAACAGUUAUUUCUACAAGGAUAUUUAUUGGCAGUGCUCCUUUUUCCCCCAACAAAAUACUAACAGCCUAUUUAAUAACCAAUGAUGUAUGACCUAAGCGCAUGAUGAACUAACUCUACUGUCGUUGGAUGGAAGUGAUUAUCUAUUUUAUACUACCGUGGGCAGAGGUCAUAUUUACAGAGGUCAUCUUUAAGAGACGCAUUUUAGAGUGCUUUGAAGCUGGCAGCCCACACGUAAAAGCACAGCCUACGUGGACCUGAGAGCUACGAGCCAACAGAAUUUAAUACCAUGCAUUAAAAAUCGCUGCAGCCCAGCCGACAACUACUGAUUAUUAAUGCAAGUGCAUGAAAUUGCUACAGUCUAAUAUAAUCGUGAUGAUUUAGCUAGACUCGGAUGUAAAUGAGAUUAAAUGAUGCCCAGGACAAAGUGACCUAGCCAUCCCUUUCCCUGCAUUAUACAUGCAUUAAGUAACUGUACAGUACUUUCAUUUUGGGUUCAGAAAGCCCUGCUGUGGGAUUAUAAAUGUAUUUAAAUCACAUUCGAAACAGUUGUGCAACUGCAUUAAGAAAGAGACUGUUAAGGAUCACUGUCGCUGUCCUCCCCGUAGUGGACACUAAACUUCUGUUGACAGUCCACUCCUGUCUGUGUCUCCUGAUGGCUCCAGACUGUGAUAAUAGCGUCUCUGUUUAUAAGCACAGAACUUUGUCACUGCCUGAGCAGAAGAGUCCAUUUUGAAGCUGCUUAAGUAGAAAACCUAAUGGACCUGUCAUGGAGCCUUGAGGAACCCCACACUCAAUUAUUUGUAUGAUUACCUCUCCUUCUGGUGGAUUAAAUAAAUGGGUGUCCCUGUAUCUCUGCAGUUUUCUAUCAGGGAAAUAAUACUGUAGCUAUAAACAUGUACUGUAGAUACACAAAUGUUUAUCUCGCCUUUAAAUAAACCCCUUUCUUA